Pelobates cultripes (western spadefoot toad) is the source of this 261-nucleotide non-coding RNA. Lineage: Eukaryota; Metazoa; Chordata; Amphibia; Anura; Pelobatidae. The record is from the annotation of a GenBank genome assembly.
CCUGAAGAUAAUUGGGAAGUAAUCCAAUUAUCUCCAAGGACAGAGGCAAAACUCCAUUAAGCACAUGUUACCAAAAAGACAUAAAAAUAUACAAAUAUUACACAGAACAUAUACAUUCAACAUAUCCCCAGAUAGCUUAGAUCUGAGCGCACAUUAUUACCGAAUGGGGCUCAGAUCACUGUUCUCAGAUGCCUCGGGGAGUAUUCGGGGCGUUUUUUUGCCGGGCGUUGGUGCGUAGAGCCAUGGCCAGAGGAGUCGAGG